GGUUAAGCGACUAAGCGUACACGGUGGAUGCCCUGGCAGUCAGAGGCGAUGAAGGACGUGCUAAUCUGCGAUAAGCGUCGGUAAGGUGAUAUGAACCGUUAUAACCGGCGAUUUCCGAAUGGGGAAACCCAGUGUGAUUCGUCACACUAUCAUUAACUGAAUCCAUAGGUUAAUGAGGCGAACCGGGGGAACUGAAACAUCUAAGUACCCCGAGGAAAAGAAAUCAACCGAGAUUCCCCCAGUAGCGGCGAGCGAACGGGGAGCAGCCCAGAGCCUGAAUCAGUGUGUGUGUUAGUGGAAGCGUCUGGAAAGGCGCGCGAUACAGGGUGACAGCCCCGUACACAAAAAUGCACAUGCUGUGAGCUCGAUGAGUAGGGCGGGACACGUGGUAUCCUGUCUGAAUAUGGGGGGACCAUCCUCCAAGGCUAAAUACUCCUGACUGACCGAUAGUGAACCAGUACCGUGAGGGAAAGGCGAAAAGAACCCCGGCGAGGGGAGUGAAAAAGAACCUGAAACCGUGUACGUACAAGCAGUGGGAGCACGCUUAGGCGUGUGACUGCGUACCUUUUGUAUAAUGGGUCAGCGACUUAUAUUCUGUAGCAAGGUUAACCGAAUAGGGGAGCCGAAGGGAAACCGAGUCUUAACUGGGCGUUAAGUUGCAGGGUAUAGACCCGAAACCCGGUGAUCUAGCCAUGGGCAGGUUGAAGGUUGGGUAACACUAACUGGAGGACCGAACCGACUAAUGUUGAAAAAUUAGCGGAUGACUUGUGGCUGGGGGUGAAAGGCCAAUCAAACCGGGAGAUAGCUGGUUCUCCCCGAAAGCUAUUUAGGUAGCGCCUCGUGAAUUCAUCUCCGGGGGUAGAGCACUGUUUCGGCAAGGGGGUCAUCCCGACUUACCAACCCGAUGCAAACUACGAAUACCGGAGAAUGUUAUCACGGGAGACACACGGCGGGUGCUAACGUCCGUCGUGAAGAGGGAAACAACCCAGACCGCCAGCUAAGGUCCCAAAGUCAUGGUUAAGUGGGAAACGAUGUGGGAAGGCCCAGACAGCCAGGAUGUUGGCUUAGAAGCAGCCAUCAUUUAAAGAAAGCGUAAUAGCUCACUGGUCGAGUCGGCCUGCGCGGAAGAUGUAACGGGGCUAAACCAUGCACCGAAGCUGCGGCAGCGACGCUUAUGCGUUGUUGGGUAGGGGAGCGUUCUGUAAGCCUGCGAAGGUGUGCUGUGAGGCAUGCUGGAGGUAUCAGAAGUGCGAAUGCUGACAUAAGUAACGAUAAAGCGGGUGAAAAGCCCGCUCGCCGGAAGACCAAGGGUUCCUGUCCAACGUUAAUCGGGGCAGGGUGAGUCGACCCCUAAGGCGAGGCCGAAAGGCGUAGUCGAUGGGAAACAGGUUAAUAUUCCUGUACUUGGUGUUACUGCGAAGGGGGGACGGAGAAGGCUAUGUUGGCCGGGCGACGGUUGUCCCGGUUUAAGCGUGUAGGCUGGUUUUCCAGGCAAAUCCGGAAAAUCAAGGCUGAGGCGUGAUGACGAGGCACUACGGUGCUGAAGCAACAAAUGCCCUGCUUCCAGGAAAAGCCUCUAAGCAUCAGGUAACAUCAAAUCGUACCCCAAACCGACACAGGUGGUCAGGUAGAGAAUACCAAGGCGCUUGAGAGAACUCGGGUGAAGGAACUAGGCAAAAUGGUGCCGUAACUUCGGGAGAAGGCACGCUGAUAUGUAGGUGAAGUCCCUCGCGGAUGGAGCUGAAAUCAGUCGAAGAUACCAGCUGGCUGCAACUGUUUAUUAAAAACACAGCACUGUGCAAACACGAAAGUGGACGUAUACGGUGUGACGCCUGCCCGGUGCCGGAAGGUUAAUUGAUGGGGUUAGCGCAAGCGAAGCUCUUGAUCGAAGCCCCGGUAAACGGCGGCCGUAACUAUAACGGUCCUAAGGUAGCGAAAUUCCUUGUCGGGUAAGUUCCGACCUGCACGAAUGGCGUAAUGAUGGCCAGGCUGUCUCCACCCGAGACUCAGUGAAAUUGAACUCGCUGUGAAGAUGCAGUGUACCCGCGGCAAGACGGAAAGACCCCGUGAACCUUUACUAUAGCUUGACACUGAACAUUGAGCCUUGAUGUGUAGGAUAGGUGGGAGGCUUUGAAGUGUGGACGCCAGUCUGCAUGGAGCCGACCUUGAAAUACCACCCUUUAAUGUUUGAUGUUCUAACGUUGACCCGUAAUCCGGGUUGCGGACAGUGUCUGGUGGGUAGUUUGACUGGGGCGGUCUCCUCCUAAAGAGUAACGGAGGAGCACGAAGGUUGGCUAAUCCUGGUCGGACAUCAGGAGGUUAGUGCAAUGGCAUAAGCCAGCUUGACUGCGAGCGUGACGGCGCGAGCAGGUGCGAAAGCAGGUCAUAGUGAUCCGGUGGUUCUGAAUGGAAGGGCCAUCGCUCAACGGAUAAAAGGUACUCCGGGGAUAACAGGCUGAUACCGCCCAAGAGUUCAUAUCGACGGCGGUGUUUGGCACCUCGAUGUCGGCUCAUCACAUCCUGGGGCUGAAGUAGGUCCCAAGGGUAUGGCUGUUCGCCAUUUAAAGUGGUACGCGAGCUGGGUUUAGAACGUCGUGAGACAGUUCGGUCCCUAUCUGCCGUGGGCGCUGGAGAAUUGAGGGGGGCUGCUCCUAGUACGAGAGGACCGGAGUGGACGCAUCACUGGUGUUCGGGUUGUCAUGCCAAUGGCACUGCCCGGUAGCUAAAUGCGGAAGAGAUAAGUGCUGAAAGCAUCUAAGCACGAAACUUGCCCCGAGAUGAGUUCUCCCUGACUCCUUGAGAGUCCUGAAGGAACGUUGAAGACGACGACGUUGAUAGGCCGGGUGUGUAAGCGCAGCGAUGCGUUGAGCUAACCGGUACUAAUGAACCGUGAGGCUUAACCUU
Molecule: ribosomal RNA, 2904 nt
Filed under: Escherichia coli
Lineage: Bacteria; Pseudomonadati; Pseudomonadota; Gammaproteobacteria; Enterobacterales; Enterobacteriaceae
Description: 23S ribosomal RNA
Rfam family: Bacterial large subunit ribosomal RNA
Source: RNAcentral